AACGGGGGGGGCUAGUGUUAUUCAACCUGACUGGGCGUAAAGGGCAUGUAGGCUGUUCUUUAAGUUUUUGGUAAAAGACUCGGUCUCAAACCGAGAAGGACCUUUUAUACUGUUGAACUAGAGUUUAAUAGAACAAGACGGUACGACCAGUGUAGAAGUGAAAUUCGCAAAAAUUGGUAGGACCAUCGUCUGGCGAAGGCGGUCUUGUAUUUUAAACUGACGCUAAGGUGCGAAAGCAUGGGUAUCGAACAGG
This 253-nucleotide ribosomal RNA is filed under the name uncultured prokaryote. RNAcentral's name for it is "partial 16S ribosomal RNA". It matches the Rfam family "Bacterial small subunit ribosomal RNA", at positions 524 to 776 of the family's 1533-position model. The record is from RNAcentral.